RNAcentral lists this ribosomal RNA (543 nucleotides) under uncultured Diversispora. RNAcentral describes it as "SSU rRNA". It matches the Rfam family "Eukaryotic small subunit ribosomal RNA", at positions 548 to 1098 of the family's 1831-position model. Lineage: Eukaryota; Fungi; Glomeromycota; Glomeromycetes; Diversisporales; Diversisporaceae. The record is from RNAcentral.
UUGGAGGGCAAGUCUGGUGCCAGCAGCCGCGGUAAUUCCAGCUCCAAUAGCGUAUAUUAAAGUUGUUGCAGUUAAAAAGCUCGUAGUUGAACUUCGGGGUUCACCCAUUGGUCAGGCUUAAUUGUCUGUACUGGUGAGAUGAAUCUCUACCUUCUGAGGAACUUUCAUGCCAUUUUUGGUGUGAUGGGAAAUCAGGACUGUUACUUUGAAAAUUAGAGUGUUUAAAGCAGGCUAACGUCUGAAUACAUUAGCAUGGAUAAUGAAAUAGGACGGAUUGAUUCUAUUUCGUUGGUUUCUAGGAUCACCGUAAUGAUUAAUAGGGAUAGUUGGGGGCAUUAGUAUUCAAUUGUCAGAGGUGAAAUUCUUGGAUUUAUUGAAGACUAACUACUGCGAAAGCAUUCGCCAAGGAUGUUUUCAUUAAUCAAGAACGAAAGUUAGGGGAUCGAAGACGAUCAGAUACCGUCGUAGUCUUACCAUAAACUAUGCCGACUAGGGAUCGGACGAAGUUAUUUAUAAUGACGCGUUCGGCACCUUACGGGAAAC